Molecule: ribosomal RNA, 454 nt
Filed under: uncultured Parabacteroides sp.
Lineage: Bacteria; Pseudomonadati; Bacteroidota; Bacteroidia; Bacteroidales; Tannerellaceae
Description: partial 16S ribosomal RNA
Rfam family: Bacterial small subunit ribosomal RNA
Source: RNAcentral
ACGGGAGGCAGCAGUGAGGAAUAUUGGUCAAUGGGCGAGAGCCUGAACCAGCCAUGUCGCGUGGAGGAAUAAGGAUCUAUGGUUCGUAAACUCCUUUUGCGGGGGGAUAAAGUGCGGGACGUGUCCCGUAUUGCAGGUACCCCGCGAAUAAGCAUCGGCUAACUCCGUGCCAGCAGCCGCGGUAAUACGGAGGAUGCGAGCGUUAUCCGGAUUUAUUAGGUUUAAAGGGUGCGCAGGCGGGACAUUAAGUCGGCGGUGAAAUACCGUGGCCCAACCACGGGGCUGCCGUCGAUACUGAUGACCUAGAGUGCGUGUGACGUAGGCGGAAUGUGACGUGUAGCGGUGAAAUGCUUAGAUAUGUCACAGAACACCGAUUGCGAAGGCAGCCUACGAAUGCGUAACUGACGCUCAUGCACGAAAGCGCGGGUAGCGAACAGGAUUAGAUACCCUGGUA